Molecule: ribosomal RNA, 860 nt
Filed under: Escherichia coli
Lineage: Bacteria; Pseudomonadati; Pseudomonadota; Gammaproteobacteria; Enterobacterales; Enterobacteriaceae
Description: partial 23S ribosomal RNA
Rfam family: Bacterial large subunit ribosomal RNA
Source: RNAcentral
GCCCCGGUAAACGGCGGCCGUAACUAUAACGGUCCUAAGGUAGCGAAAUUCCUUGUCGGGUAAGUUCCGACCUGCACGAAUGGCGUAAUGAUGGCCAGGCUGUCUCCACCCGAGACUCAGUGAAAUUGAACUCGCUGUGAAGAUGCAGUGUACCCGCGGCAAGACGGAAAGACCCCGUGAACCUUUACUAUAGCUUGACACUGAACAUUGAGCCUUGAUGUGUAGGAUAGGUGGGAGGCUUUGAAGUGUGGACGCCAGUCUGCAUGGAGCCGACCUUGAAAUACCACCCUUUAAUGUUUGAUGUUCUAACGUUGGCCCGUAAUCCGGGUUGCGGACAGUGUCUGGUGGGUAGUUUGACUGGGGCGGUCUCCUCCUAAAGAGUAACGGAGGAGCACGAAGGUUGGCUAAUCCUGGUCGGACAUCAGGAGGUUAGUGCAAUGGCAUAAGCCAGCUUGACUGCGAGCGUGACGGCGCGAGCAGGUGCGAAAGCAGGUCAUAGUGAUCCGGUGGUUCUGAAUGGAAGGGCCAUCGCUCAACGGAUAAAAGGUACUCCGGGGAUAACAGGCUGAUACCGCCCAAGAGUUCAUAUCGACGGCGGUGUUUGGCACCUCGAUGUCGGCUCAUCACAUCCUGGGGCUGAAGUAGGUCCCAAGGGUAUGGCUGUUCGCCAUUUAAAGUGGUACGCGAGCUGGGUUUAGAACGUCGUGAGACAGUUCGGUCCCUAUCUGCCGUGGGCGCUGGAGAACUGAGGGGGGCUGCUCCUAGUACGAGAGGACCGGAGUGGACGCAUCACUGGUGUUCGGGUUGUCAUGCCAAUGGCACUGCCCGGUAGCUAAAUGCGGAAGAGAUAAGUGCUGAAA